GUUCGACUACGGGGGGCAGCAGUAGGGAAUCUUCCACAAUGGGCGAAAGCCUGAUGGAGCAACGCCGCGUGGGUGAAGAAGGUCUUCGGAUCGUAAAACCCUGUUGUUAGAGAAGAAAGCGCGUGAGAGUAACUGAUCACGUUUCGACGGUAUCUAACCAGAAAGCCACGGCUAACUACGUGCCAGCAGCCGCGGUAAUACGGAGGGGGCAAGCGGUAUCCGGAUUUAUUGGGCGUAAAGGGAACGCAGGCGGUCUUUUAAGUCUGAUGUGAAAG
Molecule: ribosomal RNA, 275 nt
Filed under: uncultured bacterium
Lineage: Bacteria
Description: partial 16S ribosomal RNA
Rfam family: Bacterial small subunit ribosomal RNA
Source: RNAcentral